CCUACGGGAGGCAGCAGUGGGGAAUAUUGGGCAAUGGGCGCAAGCCUGACCCAGCAAUGCCGCGUGAAGGAAGGAGGCCCUCGGGUUGUAAAGUUCUAUUAUCAGGGACGAAGGAUGUGGCGGUACCUGUUGAAUACGCCCCGGCUAACUACGUGACAGCAGCCGCGGUAAUACGUAGGGAGCACGCGUUACCCGGAUUUACGGGGUGUAAAGGGCGCGUAGGCGGGAUGGCACGUCAGAUGUGAAAUCCAGGGGCUCAACCCCUGAACUGCAUUUGAAACUGUCGUUCUGGAGUACUGGAGAGGUUGACGGAAUUCCUGGUGUAGCGGUGAAAUGCGUAGAUAUUAGGAGGAACACCAGUGGCGAAGGCGGUCAACUGGACAGCAACUGACGCUGAGGCGCGAAAGCGUGGGGAGCAAACAGGAUUAGAUACCCUAGUAGUC
RNAcentral lists this ribosomal RNA (443 nucleotides) under uncultured bacterium. Its description in RNAcentral is "partial 16S ribosomal RNA". It matches the Rfam family "Bacterial small subunit ribosomal RNA", at positions 338 to 795 of the family's 1533-position model. The record is from RNAcentral.